This 433-nucleotide ribosomal RNA is filed under the name uncultured bacterium. RNAcentral's name for it is "partial 16S ribosomal RNA". It matches the Rfam family "Bacterial small subunit ribosomal RNA", at positions 29 to 507 of the family's 1533-position model. The record is from RNAcentral.
AACGAACGCUGGCGGCAUGCCUAACACAUGCAAGUCGAACGAGACCUUCGGGUCUAGUGGCGCACGGGUGCGUAACGCGUGGGAAUCUACCCUCAGGUUCGGAAUAACUCAGAGAAAUUUGAGCUAAUACCGGAUGAUGACGUAAGUCCAAAGAUUUAUCGCCUGAGGAUGAGCCCGCUUAGGAUUAGGUAGUUGGUGAGGUAAAGGCUCACCAAGCCGACGAUCCUUAGCUGGUCUGAGAGGAUGAUCAGCCACACUGGGACUGAGACACGGCCCAGACUCCUACGGGAGGCAGCAGUGGGGAAUAUUGGACAAUGGGCGAAAGCCUGAUCCAGCAAUACCGCGUGAGUGAUGAAGGCCUUAGGGUUGUAAAGCUCUUUUACCCGGGAUGAUAAUGACAGUACCGGGAGAAUAAGCUCCGGCUAACUCCGUG